Molecule: long non-coding RNA, 1907 nt
Organism: Athalia rosae (coleseed sawfly)
Lineage: Eukaryota; Metazoa; Arthropoda; Insecta; Hymenoptera; Athaliidae
Exons: 3
Source: RefSeq, a predicted model, not a curated record
UUGAUAUGCUCGACUGUUGUACGACAUCUUAAUAUACAUUUCGAGUUUGAGACUUGAUUUCUCUUUCGAAUAAUAAUAGCGGUGCACAAAAAUUUUCGAACAUCCCGCAACAGUCAUGCAACGAAUUGUAUUUGUGCAUUGAACCUUAUGGGAGAUAAGUGUGCACACGUUUACAACGCGAGGGCAGUGAGCUCGUUCUCCUUACGCUCGGUAUGGUGGUGCACUUUGAGUUUUCAAGGUCGGCAACGUGUUCGGUUACUUUUACUCUCGACAAUGGGUCGUUGUGGAGUCAUACGGGGAGAGGAAUUCCGCGAUAUUUCACCUUUCGAACGCGAACGUGACGACGUCCUGACGUAACGAGGACCCCCUGAAUUACAACGAACCGCAACGAUUGUGUAGGAGCGAUAACGACGAGCGUUUGUUUGAUUUCGAUUAGAGAGGGAUAAAAAGGAUAAAUAAAUUUGAAAAUCUUCCGGCUUAUUUAUCGAAGCUAUUUGCUAUUGGUGUUUCAGAAAUCGGUACAUUUGUAUGCAUUGUGUGCAUUGCGCAGCUCUGAUUUAUCGUGUAAACUUUUUACUAAUUGCUCAACCGUUUUCCGUCGGAUAGCUUUUUAAUUGUAAUUAUAUGUUAUUUGGUUUACACGAAUUGAUCCGUGAAGUUGGCCUUUUGAAAUUGUGGAUUGCAUACUGAUGCAGUUUCUUUCGAAUGCAGGUUUUUUUUCGUCUCUUUCUUAUUUUUCCUCCUUGACUCGAUCUUUUUUAACGAUCCAGUGGGAUAAGUAUGAUCGUCGCAACGUAGACGGAGUAGAUAUGCGAUCGUUAGAUUAGUUUUGCCGCAUUAAAAAAAUCUGCGGAUUACCAAAAAGGACUCCGCGAAUCGGAAGAAUUUAAUUUUCGGCAGAGAAAUUAAUUAAAAAACAAAGGUGAAUAAUUGGAAUUUGGAAUAUUCAACGCCAUCUGAACGCUAGGGGCAAAACUUCGUUGCGCGUGAGUCGGAUUCUGUAUCUGUGGAAGAGAUGCCAAGUAAAACGCUAUCCUGGACCGAUAAAGAUUUCCUGUUUAUUCUACAAUCGAUAAGUCUUAAGUUGCGGGGAAUCGAAUAUAUUGAGUAGGUCUACCGCAACCAGCGAACACGUUGAUAAAUUUUUGUUGGUAACAAACGUAACAUUAAAAUAUUUUUGUGAGUAAAUUCAAUAGGAGUUGAAUAUUUAUGAAUAUAAUAGCUUUUUCCCUUUUCACCUGUAGAAAGGUUUUGAAAAAAAAAUUGAUUAAGGAAUUCAAGUUAGCUUGACGGUGAAAUUAGUUCGUUGAGUCGUCGAUAGAAAAAGCAGCACCUUAUGGAACGACUCGAGGUUCUCGAAAUGUUAUCCAAUGUGGUUUGAAGUUAUGAUUUUUUCUCACAAAAAUGAAAAAAUCUAUCGCUUGGACCCACGUAUGAAUGACUUGCCUUCUUCAGAACAUGGCGUGGAUAUUGAGACAAUAGAAAACAAACUUGCAUUCGACGAUGCAGCGUGGCUCCUGAUCGAGAAUACAAGACUAUCCUCGGAAUAUCUAUACUAGGCACAUCAUUAUAUGUUCGGUGUGAAUAAAUUGUAGGAAUGAAUCACAUAAAUUGUGCACAUUAUUAGAACUAUGUAUUCCAAACAGGAAUGUUGUCCAAACUAUUAUUUAUUAGGAAUGAGUUAUAACGUAAUGUAAAAAAGCUGUAUGCCAUUCGAUAUUUUGUUAAGAACUAUUCGAUUAUUGAUCUUAGGUGUACGGAAGAGGAGUGUUGUUCACACUAUUGUAACUCGUUAUCAGAUUGAAAGAAAGAUUGUGUCCGCAAGAAUGAGACCAUCAACGGCAUGACAAUGUUGCAUCAUGUAUUUUCGAACGUUGAUUUUCAAUAAACCUCAACUAUUACCAAUA